CACACAUAUAGGUGGGAGGUCAUAGGCAGAGAGCAGGACGGGACCAGCUGGGAAGUGCAGAACAGAUCAGCCCCAACACCCACACCUCAAUCUGCUCAAAUGGCCUUGAGAUGUGUUUGCAGACAAAAGAGCUGUGAAUUGUGCUACUUGGUGGUGCUGGGAACUGCCUGGGAAAUCAGCGUAGGAAGUCAAGGCAGAGAGCCUUGUGGAUAUGCAGGAUGAUGUCCCUAUGGGUAGACAAAAGCAUUGCUACACUCCACUGAAGCUGGCAAAUUCAGUAAAUGGCUGCUCACCAUGAGUCCGUCAGGACGCUUUUGCAGGUCCCUUCAGUUGAAGAGCUGGUAGCCUGGCAUUUAGUCCCUGGAAUAUUCUCCUUGUGAUCUGUCUCCAUCUCACUUCAGUUCACUUUCUGGCAGCAUGAGGAAGAAAUCUUAGCUUAUUGCUGCCUGAUAUAAGGUAUCCAAAGGUAUUCAGAAUGCCCAAAGUGGAAGAUGUCAAAUUCAGACCCUGGCCAGAUUAGCUCUGAAAGGUUUGGAGAAGUGAGUCGAGCAGCAGCACCUACAACAACAUUACCUAUAAUAGGUUUGCUUUCUGCUCUACCUCUAUCCUCUCUUCAGAACCAUUUUUUCUUGGCAUGGGCUGGAAUAGCAUCUGUUCUGGGAGAAGACAGAAAACCAGGAUGCUCUGAGUGACCAAUGUAUGAGAGUUGAAAUAAAAAAAGCUCAAACUGUACCUUUCCACAGGAAUUUUAGUCAGACAUGAAAUUAAAAUGGUUGAUGGUCAUAUUUUUUUUCUUAACUUUUCUCCUAGAAAUACAGGUCUAAUUCUGUGAAUGCUGAAAGCUAUAUGGCCAGAUGCUCUCUCAUUGAUCAUGUCGUGUGGCUUUUCAGAUGUAUGAUAUAUUAUAUUCCUGGAACAUUCCUGAGCUGUAUUACUUUACAGCUGAAACUUAGUUGUUCCUUCCUACCUCAUGUAAAAAUCCAGUAUGGAUUAAAUAUCUGCCUUGACUUAAACAGACAUGAGAUCUCUGGAGGAUCUGAAUGUUGAACAGCAGAGUUCAGCCUUGAGCUUUUACCAGCUCAGGAAUGAGGGGAAUGAGAGAGGGAAAGCCAUCCUUGGUUUUCUUUAUCUCCCGUUCUAGUUUGAACCAUGUCCACCACUACAUCUUGAAAAGAGCCCUGAGCAUUCAAUCCUUUCAGGUUCAAAGGCUCUGACAGUGGUUACUGGAACGUCUCCCUUGCAUGCUUCACACCCUGCCCGCCGUGGCCUUGUCUGUUGUCCCUUGCAGAAAUCCCAGAAGAUCUCCAGCACAACAUGGAUGAGAAUCUGCUUGCCAGUAGCUUUAGGUCUCCACGGGUGUCUCUUCCAACCCUCAAGGCAGAUAAGGGAUUACAGAUUCCUUUUUAUCUCUGACUGGAGUGGUUGGCCUCCAUGGGUUCCCAUUUCUGUGGCGUUCAUUGGGAGGAGGAAGAAACUCCUCUGCAGUGAGGAGCCCUGCAAAGUGUCAGUGGUAAAUUCUGGUGCAGGAUUUUCCUAUGUGGUUCUGCACAUUCGUUAUGUUCUCCAUUCUACAGACCUCACCAAGGCUCCAUCUCAUUUAUAACAUAUAGCCUCUCCCUUGCAAAUUGCCAGUAUUCAAAUAAUAAGAUUAGCACAGAAAAAAAUAGUAUAUUUAAUACUCCAACUGGGCCAUCUGUCUGCUUUCUGUCCAUUCAUGUGCCUGUUGCCUUCUCGAUUACUGUUUCUCAUCCCCACUAGAAUCCAGCCUUGAAAAUCCCCAAAACAGGAUUUUGGGCCACAAAGCAUCACAAACAUUUAUGUCAGCACAUACUGUAAAACUAAUAAAAUGAAAGCAGCUGCAUCAGUCAGAGGUUUCUGGCAAUUUGUGUAAAUGAACAGGAUAGCAGAGCCUGAUCAUUAUGCAUUCCCAUGUACAGCAUGUACAAGGGCUGCUGGAUCUGGCCCCACAACUGUCAUGUGCAGCCAUUCCUUCACUCCUCCACACAUUCCAGGCAAGAUGACACUGAGCUUAGUAUGGGGAGCAACAGCAGUAGUAACAUUUAUUUUCUGAUUCUUCUACUGAGAGUAACCAGCUUCUCUAAAUGGACUUCUUUAAUAUACGGAGACAACCCGCUUGGUUUUCAUGUUCUCUGCAAAGAGGAGUGAGCAGUUUAUUAAAAGGCUCUUUUGAGUGACUUAU
Lagopus muta (rock ptarmigan) is the source of this 2200-nucleotide long non-coding RNA. RefSeq lists it as uncharacterized. The transcript is spliced from 3 exons. Lineage: Eukaryota; Metazoa; Chordata; Aves; Galliformes; Phasianidae. The record is from RefSeq and is a predicted model, not a curated record.